GUGUGUCAGUGCUGUGUGUAAGUUGACUAUACAAAAACAAAUUGUAAGAAAAAUGUGAUUUAAAUUUACAAAAGGAGAUAGUAACACGAUAAAAUGGGGUGGCAGGUAGCCUAGUGGUUAGAGACAGGUAGCCUAGUGGUUAGAGCAGGUAGCCUAGUGGUUAGAGCAGGUAGCCUAGUGGUUAGAGCAGGUAGCCUAGUGGUUAGAGCAGGUAGCCUAGUGGUUAGAGCAGGUAGCCUAGUGGUUAGAGACAGGUAGCCUAGUGGUUAGAGCAGGUAGCCUAGUGGUUAGAGGCAGGUAGCCUAGUGGUUAGAGACAGGUAGCCUAGUGGUUAGAGACAGGUAGCCUAGUGGUUAGAGACAGGUAGCCUAGUGGUUAGAGACAGGGAGCCUAGUGGUUAGAGACAGGUAGCCUAGUGGUUAGAGCAGGUAGCCUAGUGGUUAGAGCAGGUAGCCUAGUGGUUAGAGCAGGUAGCCUAGUGGUUAGAGACAGGUAGCCUAGUGGUUAGAGACAGGUAGCCUAGUGGUUAGAGACAGGUAGCCUAGUGGUUAGAGACAGGUAGCCUAGUGGUUAGAGACAGGUAGC
Molecule: long non-coding RNA, 585 nt
Organism: Oncorhynchus tshawytscha (Chinook salmon)
Lineage: Eukaryota; Metazoa; Chordata; Actinopteri; Salmoniformes; Salmonidae
Source: Ensembl